GACGAACGCUGGCGGCGUGCCUAAUACAUGCAAGUAGGACGCAGUUGCGAACGGGUGAGUAACGCGUCUGUAACUGCCUAUUAGAGGGGGCUAACUAUUGGAAACGAUAGCUAAUACCGCAUACUAGUAGAUUGACCUGCGUUGUAUUAGCUAGUAUGUAGGGUAAUGGCCUACCUAGGCGACGGUACAUAGCCGACCUGGGGAGGAGAUCGGCCACACUGGGAAUGGGACAAGGCCCAAGCUCCUACGGGAGGCAGCAAGAGGGGAACUUCGGCAAAUGGGGGAAACCUGAACGAGGAAAGCCGGGUGAGUGAAGAAGGUUUUCGGGUCGGAAAACUGUGUUGGUAAGGAAGCGGUACUUAACCAGAAAGGGACGGCUAACUACGUGCCAGCAGCCGCGGUAAUUC
RNAcentral lists this ribosomal RNA (407 nucleotides) under uncultured bacterium. RNAcentral describes it as "partial 16S ribosomal RNA". It matches the Rfam family "Bacterial small subunit ribosomal RNA", at positions 28 to 526 of the family's 1533-position model. The record is from RNAcentral.